GGGCGAGUGGCGGAAUUGGCAUACGCGCACGGCUUAGAACCGUGUCCGAAAGGGUGGAGGUUCGAGUCCUCUCUCGCCCACCA
RNAcentral lists this transfer RNA (83 nucleotides) under bacterium. RNAcentral's name for it is "tRNA-Leu". It matches the Rfam family "tRNA". Rfam says of the family: Transfer RNA (tRNA) molecules are approximately 80 nucleotides in length. Their secondary structure includes four short double-helical elements and three loops (D, anti-codon, and T loops). Further hydrogen bonds mediate the characteristic L-shaped molecular structure. tRNAs have two regions of fundamental functional importance: the anti-codon, which is responsible for specific mRNA codon recognition, and the 3' end, to which the tRNAs corresponding amino acid is attached (by aminoacyl-tRNA synthetases). tRNAs cope with the degeneracy of the genetic code in two manners: having more than one tRNA (with a specific anti-codon) for a particular amino acid; and 'wobble' base-pairing, i.e. permitting non-standard base-pairing at the 3rd anti-codon position. RNAcentral also lists the same sequence under 1 other name. The record is from RNAcentral.